CGAAGGUGGCAAGCGUUGUUCGGAUUUACUGGGCGUACAGGGAGCGUAGGCGGUUCGGUAAGCCCUUUGUGAAAUCUCCAGGCUUAACCUGGAACAGUCGGAGGGGACUGCCGGGCUAGAGGGCGGGAGAGGAGCGCGGAAUUCCCGGUGUAGCGGUGAAAUGCGUAGAGAUCGGGAGGAAGGCCGGUGGCGAAGGCGGCGCUCUGGAACGUUUCUGACGCUGAGGCUACGAAAGCGGUGGGGAGCAAACAGGAUUAGACUACCCUGGUAGUCCACGCCUUAAACUAUGAAUACUAAGUGUCGGCGGGUUACCGCCGGUGCCGCAGCUAACGCAUUAAGUAUUCCGCCUGGGAAGUACGGCCGCAAGGUUG
This 371-nucleotide ribosomal RNA is filed under the name uncultured organism. RNAcentral describes it as "bacterial SSU rRNA". It matches the Rfam family "Bacterial small subunit ribosomal RNA", at positions 526 to 896 of the family's 1533-position model. The record is from RNAcentral.